Molecule: ribosomal RNA, 490 nt
Filed under: uncultured bacterium
Lineage: Bacteria
Description: partial 16S ribosomal RNA
Rfam family: Bacterial small subunit ribosomal RNA
Source: RNAcentral
AUUGAACGCUGGCGGCAGGCCUAACACAUGCAAGUCGAACGGUAACAGGAAGCAGCUUGCUGCUUUGCUGACGAGUGGCGGACGGAUGAGUAAUGUCUGGGAAACUGCCUGAUGGAGGGGGAUAACUACUGGAAACGGUAGCUAAUACCGCAUAACGUCGCAAGACCAAAGAGGGGGACCUUAGGGCCUCUUGCCAUCGGAUGUGCCCAGAUGGGAUUAGCUAGUAGGUGGGGUAACGGCUCACCUAGGCGACGAUCCCUAGCUGGUCUGAGAGGAUGACCAGCCACACUGGAACUGAGACACGGUCCAGACUCCUACGGGAGGCAGCAGUGGGGAAUAUUGCACAAUGGGCGCAAGCCUGAUGCAGCCAUGCCGCGUGUAUGAAGAAGGCCUUCGGGUUGUAAAGUACUUUCAGCGGGGAGGAAGGGAGUAAAGUUAAUACCUUUGCUCAUUGACGUUACCCGCAGAAGAAGCACCGGCUAACUCCGUG